This 369-nucleotide small RNA is filed under the name Drosophila yakuba. RNAcentral describes it as "GE27481". The record is from RNAcentral. Lineage: Eukaryota; Metazoa; Arthropoda; Insecta; Diptera; Drosophilidae.
GUGAACGCCAAACCAGCUGACGUCGAACGAAAAAGAGAGCGAGAGAGCAAACAGCUGAGAGCGGUAAAAGCGGAAGGGGCGUACGGGGAAUUCCGCUUCCGAUGCCCUUAAACGAUGAAGAAUGAAACACAGACUAAAAUCGGACAACAACAAAAGGUGCCGAAAAGAACCAGUCUAUGCACAACUGGUUCCGAAGACCAGCGCACAGAUUGCAAACAAGCGGCAUGUGCAAUAGAGAUUGGCGCGUGAUUCCAGUUGCCAUGUACUGAUUUCGUGCGUCGAGAAGAGAUUUAUUUUGGGCUUAUCCAAACAUAAGUUAUUCAUUAUGAUUUAGUUAUGGUUUCAUUAAAGUGUGUUUUUUAAACCUUC